Molecule: long non-coding RNA, 14120 nt
Filed under: Solanum tuberosum (potato)
Lineage: Eukaryota; Viridiplantae; Streptophyta; Magnoliopsida; Solanales; Solanaceae
Description: long non-coding RNA (STUB_LNC010130)
Source: RNAcentral
UUUUGGCUUCUAACUUGAACCAAUUUUAAGAUCUAACAUCAACUCUUUUCCCACAAAUUUUCAGCCAAGUUUGGGCCAUUUCCUCUCAAAUUCCAAACCGGCCCAAUAUUUCCAACAUUCAACAGAAACCCAUUAUAACAACAACAUUCUAAUCAGCCCUAUACUCAAAUCAAUAGCCCCUUUUCCAUAAUUUCCAGCCCACCAAGCCAAUCCAUUUCCCCUUAACCCGGCCCAUUUCUUUUGUUCAGCAAAGAGUUCAACAACUAUUCCAAACAACAAAGGCAAACAGCAGCACACGGAAAUCUCACGGAGACGGACGGAAAGCAGCGGCAACAGGCAGUACGCUGCCUUUUCUUGUCUUCUUCCUCAACGUCCCUCUCCGAUAGUACUGUUCCAGCCGUGAUUCCAGUAAAAGCAGCACGCAUUUUCGUCCUUGUGGUGUGAGAUUGAGGCACAUAGCAUCUCAAGGACUCUCAAUCGAUCGAGACCCUCCACCUCAUUCCAAUCCGUUUGAAAUGAGGAUCAAUUCGGUAUAUUCUUCCGUCCUUGGAGAGAAUUUGAGGGGGAAUUUUCAAAAUUUGUGGGCCUUGUUCUUAUCCAACUUCUCGGCCCUUUUCCCAAAUUCCGAACCCUAGUUUUUCCUUAUAAAUACCCUCUUUGCUCACUGUUCAAAGGAGGGUUUUUUUUCGAGACCUGAGAGUACCCUAAAAGGUUUGGGAAAUCUUGGUUCAAUAGUUUAAUUUGUUGUGGUUGUUUGAGUUGAAAGAGGUGGAAUCGUCUCCGUCAAACUCAUCCGUCCAGUUCGCUGCCCCGAGCCAGGUAAUCUUCUCUUUAUUUCAGCAUUUUGUUGGCUCUUGAAAUCUUGUUUGGCGUUAGCUGUUUAAGUAUGUUUUCAGUAGCUUAAAUUUUAUUUUUUAUUUUUUGCCUAUUUUUGAACUGUCUAAUUUAUAUGUGAGAUAUUUAUGUCUUUAAUUUCAUCAUUUUCUACCAUCUUAGGACAAAUAUAAUCAGUAUUGAAUGAAGUUAGAGUUAUUUUUUUUUUUAUUUUUUUUUAUUUUUUUUGUUCAAGCAUUUUAGUUGUCAAGUAGUCGAUCUGUGUAGCUUGUUGUAUUCGUUUGAUUUGAAAAGGUUUUAAAGCGCUAGUUAUUCUCGACUUGCUUCACCUUUUGACUUAUGACAAAUUUUAAAUUUGGAGUUGAAUAUUCUCAUUCAUGAUGAGCGAAAACCUCCCCAUUCAUCUAAUCUUUUUACAUGUAUAAGAGAAUGUAGUGAUUAAUUUCUCUCUAGUCAGCCAUGUGAUCCAAUAUGAGCUUGAAGUGUGUUUAUUUUGAUUAUAGCGCGACUGUUUAAAUUCGAGUUUGCGAACUUGCUUCAUGCUGUCUCAUUUCCAAUCGUUUUCGGCUCCUAGUUGUCGUCCGUCUCUCUGUUUUGAGGUUCCUAUUUUGAUUUCCAUGUGAAUGAUUCAAAAUGAUGUUCGAUUUAGUGUUAUGUCUCAUGUUACCUUAAGAUUAAUGAGUGUAGCUAUAUGUUUAACACAACUGAUAAUUUAUUUAUGUGUUAAGAUGUUAGUUUGUUGUUCUUUAUAAUGCUACUGUCGGGAUUAAUGGAACACAAAAGUUCUCAUGUGUUAACCGAUUUUUAUUUAUUUUUGACUCCUUAAUCUCUAGUUUUCUCUGACUGCUGGUUGAAUUUAAGGUUUAUGUGAAGUUGUUUAAAUUGUCCCUUCCUUGUCUAUUUUCCGAUUUUCUUUGCUCAAAUUUAUAGCUAAAGUUUGUAGUUAUGGAUUGUCUUAAUGUGAAUAUAAAGAAAAGGUUUUAGGAUCAAAUGUUGCCUUCAUUUUGUUUGGCAUAUUACUUGAUUUAUCUCUGCCAAAAAAUGAUUUUCAAUUGUCCAUAAUUAAUUAAGCAUGUUAGUAUAAACUACUUUGAAGUCCUCAUUAUGAUAUGUCAUUUUUAUCGCCUUUAGCAUAACUGAGUUAAUACAUAUCAAUUAAUCUUAUGUGACUUCAAAUAUUUAAAUUUUGAAUCUAAAAGAGAUUGGAGUUUGUACAUCCAUGAGUAGUGUCGGGUUUGGUCUUGGUGUGAUACUUGUUUGAAUCUCUUUAUUUAUUAAUUAUAUGGAAUGUACUCUUUCUAUCAUUAAUUAUUAUACAUGCUAGUUGAAGUCUGCAUGCCUUAAUUCUUGGCUACAAACCUUUCUGCAAGUAUCAAGUAAGCNNNNNNNNNNNNNNNNNNNNNNNNNNNNNNNNNNNNNNNNNNNNNNNNNNNNNNNNNNNNNNNNNNNNNNNNNNNNNNNNNNNNNNNNNNNNNNNNNNNNNNNNNNNNNNNNNNNNNNNNNNNNNNNNNNNNNNNNNNNNNNNNNNNNNNNNNNNNNNNNNNNNNNNNNNNNNNNNNNNNNNNNNNNNNNNNNNNNNNNNNNNNNNNNNNNNNNNNNNNNNNNNNNNNNNNNNNNNNNNNNNNNNNNNNNNNNNNNNNNNNNNNNNNNNNNNNNNNNNNNNNNNNNNNNNNNNNNNNNNNNNNNNNNNNNNNNNNNNNNNNNNNNNNNNNNNNNNNNNNNNNNNNNNNNNNNNNNNNNNNNNNNNNNNNNNNNNNNNNNNNNNNNNNNNNNNNNNNNNNNNNNNNNNNNUUUUUUUUUUUUUAUUUGAAAAGUCUGAAAAUGGCACCAGCUGAAGCAGAGUUGCAGCUGCCUCUAAAAGGCAGAAAAACGAGGAGAAAAAAUUGGGUCGAAACCCCGACAAACCACCAGCAGUAGCAGCAGUCCCCAAAGGGACUAAAAUUGGAAAUUUUUGGACUUUAAAAAGUCCAAUCUGGGCAGCAGCAAAUGAGAAGCAGCAAGUGGACUUAAAGUUGUCCAAAUCCUAUUUGCACUUUUGUUUCCCUUAUAUCGUGAUUUUGUGAUACUUGCUCUUAAUUUCUAACAUUUAUUUUAUCAAUUUAGAUGAAUCCUUGGGGUGAUAUGUUUAUUAAAGUUUUCAAAUUUUGAAACUCAUUUUAAGUUAGGUAAUUUAAGCUUUAUAGAAUGACUUGAGAACCUUUUAUGUUCUUUCAUAGUUAUUGAUAAGCUUCGAAUCCAUGUUUACGAGUUUGAACUAACUAUUUGGUUCAAAUUUUUAAAUAGGAUAAAGUUGUUAAGUUUCUUAAAAUAAAUUAGUUGUCUUUUAGUUUAACUUAGGACCUUGUAUGAAUGACUUAAGGAUUUUCUAUAUAUUUUUGUAGUUGUCAAACAAGGUCCUUAAAUUCAUGUUUAGGUGUUUGAAUUAAUUGUAUGAUUCAAAGUUUAAUUAUGGAUAAAAGUUUCAAGUUAGGUUUGUUCAAAAGAUUUUAGAAGUAUCACGAGAUUUUUUAUCUAAGUUUCAAACAAGAUUUUUGUAAGUAAUUCCUUUAUUUUAUAAAAUUAGCCAAACUUUUAAAUCCGUCGGUCAACCGUGUGUUAGCGGAUUCUCUAAGAUGCCUAAAUCCUUCCUUAGAGAAUUAUUUGAACCCUUACCCGACUCUGGUUUUAUCUAAUAUGUUCUCUUUCAAAUAAAACUCAUUUUAAGUGGUUUUCUUAAUUUUUCCUAAAAAUUAAGUGGCGACUUCCAAAUUAUAUUUUUCCAAAACUUAACAAAAAUUGCCAAAGUUGCGAAAUUGGUUUCGAAACCUUAGUUUUCGAAAUCGAGUCGUAACAGGGAUAUUUCAAAAACAUGGACAUCAACUCACAAGAAAGUGAGAAUCUAUGCAGACUGCUUGUUGAACAUAAUGAGCUGGUACUAUUAUUGUAUUAAUUGUUACUUUAUGCAAUUAUUUGUUUAAAUUUUGAUUAUUAAUUGUCAUAUUGCAUUCAUGGCACUUUCUGAUACAAUAUGACCAUAUUAUUUCAUUACUAAGAUCUACCAUCUAUCAAAUCCUUCAUUACGUUGGUGUCAAAUUAAAAUCAAACAAACAAAUUGAAAUGAAGGAAAUAUAUCAUUUUUCCUCUUUCUUUCUCUAAUUUCAUUCUAGUGAAAAAGUUUAGAAGUUUGUACAGAGUUCAAGAAAUUCAUUAUAAUCAUCAAGAAAUAAUGACUCAAAUUUAUGUUAAAAUGAGUUUUGAGAGUGAAAUGAUUUUAAGAUUGUGGGGUACAAAUACAACAAAUUAAAGGGGAUGGUUUAGAAAUUUUUUGGUUUAGAAAUAUUUUGACAAAGUGAGGUUAGGUGGUGGAUGAGGGUCGUUGUGACUGAUAUCUAUUUCCCUCUCCUCUAAUAUGUAUCCCUAUUUGUUUUAUUCAUAAGGUUUGUAGAAAGAUUUUUUGGGGCAAUGGAAUGUUUCACAAACGAUAUACACAUCCUUCAAACGUUAGGCCCACCUUUGGCUCAAAAAGGUCACAUGUAUGUUAGGAGACGUUAUAUAUUGUUUGUGUGUUAAAUGUUACAAAUCUUGUUUCAUUUGUGCUUGUUUGACUUAUGUGUUCUAUACAUAUGUCUUGCUUUAAACAUAAUUAGUCCGUUAUACCAUUACAACGUCUUAGAACAUCUUUUAAUAUAUAUACUCAAUUUUCAGGCUUUCCGAAAUAUUCUUGACUCCAUUAUCAAAAUACGUUCAAAAUCACUAAAGUUCUAGGUUCAAUAGAGCUUUACAAAAUUUAUUAGGUCACUAUUCAAAUUCACGUUGACCUUGUUGUUUCUUGAAAAUUAUUUUUUACGCCUACCUAGCCGGUAUUACUAAAUAUUCCUUCAGUUUCAAGUCAACUUUAAGACGUCUUUGUUUCUCGAAAGGACUUUUCAAUUGAGCCUUCCAAAAGGUACAUUUGAAUCUUUACUUAAAUCAUAUAGUUUGCCUUGUUCAAAUUCCUUUAUUUCGCUAAAAUUUUAGUUCACAAAAUGAUCAAAAAAUUUCCCAUUUUGUUAUCCUUUUAGAAUUUUUUGGUCUUCGGAUUUUGGACUAAUUUGUUUUAAGCAAAACAAAUGUUAUUUGUUUUAUAUGUUACUUCGAUUGAUUAUUAUGAUUAAUGGACUAACUCUUUAUUUUUUGAGUUAUUUUUAGAAGGAGAGACUGAUUUGUGUUGGUAAUCAAACUUGCUCACUUCAUCAAAGUACCCGCUGGCAGAACAUUCAUAUUUUACACGGUCUAAGGUCAAGAAAAUCGCAUCAGACUCAUCAUUUCUUACUUGGACUACUAAGAGGACUCGUACAAAAAUGGAUCCCACUAUCAACACAGUUGCUUCAUCCGAAAUGAUCCCCACUCCAUCUGUCGCGGCUAAUCCUAGUGCAUCGGUAGCAACAGAAUCACCCAUGGAAGUCAUUGCUCGUCUAGAGCGACAAAUUGGUGAACUGAAUCUCCUAGUAGCUCAUUUCCAAGCUGCUUCUCAGAACCUACCACCUGAUGCUCGCCAAAAAGGGCCCAUGCCACCUUCGUUUCCAACUUCAAGUGAGCUCAAUCAAGGAGAACAUUUUACCACCUUUCAGCCAGCUCAAAGCGCCUCACUCACUCAUUCGACUCAGGAUACUCCUCUUGUGUACACAUUUGCUCCCCCAAAACCUCCAACGGUAACACAUCAUGCUCCGCCAGUGUACACUUAUGUCACUGCUCCACCUGUUACCAAGGCUCAAGAGUUUCAUCGCCAAGAUGUUAAUCACUAUGUUGAAAUUGAAAACGAUGCAAGAUCAAUUGAUGCUGAAAUGAUGAAUAGAAAGAUGAAAAGCUUAGAGGAUGCUAUGAGAGGUCUUCGUGGGUUCGAUAGUAGCCAGAGUGUGAGAUAUGAAGAGUUGUGCACAUUCCCUGAAGUUGAGCUUCCACUCGGUUACAAGAUUCCGAAGUUUGAGAAGUUCAGUGGAUCAGGAAAUCCUUUCUUUCACUUGAAAAUUUAUUGUGAAAAGUUGAUUGGCGUUGGAAACAACGAAGGGAUAAGAAUCAAGCUUUUCAACCAAAGUCUGACCGGAAAAGCCUUGGAGUGGUACUCAAAGCAAGAUGUGACUAAAUGGCGUACUUGGGAUGAUCUAGCAAAUGCUUUUGUGGAUCACUAUAAGUUUCAUGUUGAAAUCGCUCCUGAUAGGAUCUCUAUUACCAAGCUAAAACCAAAGUCGACUGAAUGCUUUCGAGAAUACGCCAUUUGUUGGAGGGAGGAAGCUGCUAGGGUGCACCCACCUAUGGAGGAAUCAGAAAUGAUCACCUACUUCAUUCAAGCUCAAGACUCAGAAUACUAUGAGCGUAUGGUGACAAUGGGUGGAAAGACAUUUGCAGAAGUUAUCAAAGCUGGAGAAAUGAUUGAAGACGGUCUCAACAUUUGCUGAAGUUAUCAAGGCUGGAGAAAUGAUUGAAGACGGUCUCAAAACUGGCCGAAUAGCAAGUUACACCUCAUCUCAGUUUGCUAACAGGGCCUAUCAAACAGGUUCCUUUGGAAGCGGAAAGAAAAAAGAGAAAGAGGUUAUGAUGUUAACGACCCGAUGAGCUACCUCAUAUAACCGUCAACCACCUCCAGGCUAUCUUGGUUCACAAUACUAUGUUUGCAACAAUCAAGCAACAUUUCGUCCUCCACGACCAAUGUAAAAUUAUCGAAACAAUGCACCUCGUCCCAAUUUUGAGAAAAAACCUCCCCGAGUGUUCACUCCAUUGUGUGAGACACGGACUCAACUUUUUGAAAGAUUGAAAGAGGCAGGGAUACUACAUCCAGUGGAAGCCAAGACUGUGAAUACUUCAGCCGAGUGGUAUGACCCAAAUAAGCAUUGUGCUUAUCACUCAGGAGUUAUUGGGCAUGAUACCGAGAGGUGUAUCACUCUGAAGCACAAAAUUCAAGAUCUAAUUGACAACGAGGUGGUAAAACUUGCUCAAGCUCCACCAAAUGUGAACACCAAUCCACUACCCAAACACAAAGAGUAGUCAUUGGCGUAACCAGUUGCGAACAAGAAUCAAGUUUUUCUGAAAGUCACACUUUUGACAUCUUUUAAUAUUGCAUUUGAAGUUUGUUGUUUCAUUUCCCUGUAAUCCUUUUAAUAUUGCAUUUGGAGUUUGUUGUUUCAUUUCCAUGUAAUCGCUUUUAUCGCUUUGUUUCCCUUGUAAUCAUUUGUUUGGAUUUAAUUUGUUAGCAUCUUUCAUCUGUAAUGAACUACGUCUGACCUGAAUUCUCAAGAAUGAGAUACGUAGGCGGCCUAUGUCGGCUUCGGUCACCCCUUUAUCCCUUUUAAUUUCUCUUUUAGUGGAACUACGUUUGACCUGAUUCCUGCUCAACGGGAUACGUAGGCGCCACACCGGCUCGGUCAUAUUCCCCGCAAGUUUUUCAUUUCCCUUUAUAAUAAAAACUGGGGCAGAAUUUUGAGAGGAUCUCAAAAUUCGUUGGAAGAGGAAUUUGACCAACAAGUCAGAAUCAAGGAUCACUUCAGAGUUGCAACUGGGGCAGAAUUUUUGAGAUUCACUCAAAAAUUCAAUCAAACACUAUAGAAAGUUCAGAAUUUAUAUUAUGUUUUAAACUGGGACAGAAUUUUGAGGAGGUCCUUAAAAAUUCCAUCAAGCGACAUUUCAAGACCAAACAAGCUUGUAAUCCAGAAGGCAAAGGAGCAUCAAGAUGGCAAGGCAAAGCCAACAUGAAUCAGUCUCUCAAAACUAAGAAUUUUUCUUUGGAUGCAGGAACUACAAAGUUACAAGGCAUCAUUAGACUCACGAUGGAAUAGCUUGGCAUAAUGGCGAAGACCAUAAGACGUUAUCCAGACCAAUAUAAGCUGAACAACUUCAUCAUUAACUUAUCUUUUGUUUUAUCAUUUACUUUGAUAAUUUUAUUUUGUUACUAACUCACGACUGAGUUUUGCAGGUGUCAUUACCAGAAUUGAAGACAAUUUCAAAAGAUCUUCUGAAGUUUUGAAUGAUUAAAUCAGAUGUUCGCCAGAAAAUUGCAGGAGCCAACUUUUUUUUUCAAAUUUCAUAAUGAAGGAUUCCCGACACCGAGGAUCCAAUCCUACAAACUGACUCUUAUCCUCUUUUUAUAUUGAAGAACUUUGUCCUUCAUUGUUUCAAAUCCCUUACCUUUUAUGACAAGUCUUACGUCCUUUUUAAAUUCUGUCAAGUUUCAGGUUCGAACUACGUCAGACCUGAUUUCUUGUUCCAGCAAGAUACGUAGGCAAUCCUAUGUAAGGAUUCGGUCUUCUAACUGUUUCAAAUUACAGACCUUAGAGGAAAUUGGGACAUGUUUUUGAAUCAAUCAUCCCUCAUUUUUUGCAAAUUAUUUCAGUUAAGUACCCUUGGACUGGAAACAUGGGUAACUUUUUGAAAUAGUUCAAAAUUCUCAAAAUCUCUGUUUAACCUUAUGUUUCAAAGAUAUUCCGUGUCAAGCGAGUUUUCUCUUUGCAAGAGAUCUUUUUAAAGUAAGGGUACACCUUGUGUAACAUCCCUAAUCGACCAUUAGUGCUUUGUUUCAACGCUAUAAGUUCUCAAAGCGUUCUUUCGGAAUUCCCCAUUUUCUAUGGCUACCAGAUCAUCUUGACGUGUUCAAAAGUCUUGACUUGUGUUAAUUUUUGUUAUCUACUAACAAAUUCUUUAUGAGCGAAGAAAACAAACUCUUUAAAGAGAACCACAGGUCUUACCAGCUUCAGGAAUUACAUGAGACAAACUGGAUGAGAAAUAUUAUAUAUUUGGAUUGUCUUUCUUUUAAAGAGUUAUAUUGAGCUUCCACCUCAAACUAUCAUUGGAGAGUCACUUCCUUCAACGUGACACAUUAAAUUAUUAUUGGAGAGUCACUUCCUUCAACGUGACACAUUAAAUUAUUAUUGGAGCGUCACUUCCUUCAACAUGACACGUUAAAUUACCAUUGGAGCGUCACUUCCUUCAACGUGACACGUUAAAUUAUUAUUGGAGAGUCACUUCCUUCAACGUGACACAUUAAAUUAUUAUUGGAGCGUCACUUCCUUCAACAUGACACGUUAAAUUACCAUUGGAGCGUCACUUCCUUCAACGUGACAUGUUAAAUUAUUAUUGGAGCGUCACUUCCUUCAACGUGACAUGUUAAAUUAUUAUUGGAGCGUCACUUCCUUCAACGUGACACGUUAAAUUAUUAUUUGAAUGUCACUUCUUUCAACGUGGCAUACUAUAUAUUGGAGCGUCACUUCCUUCAAUGUGACACGUUAAAUUAUUAUUGGAGCGUCACUUCCUUCAACGUGACACAUUAAAUUGUUAUUGGAGAGUCACUUCCUUCAACGUGACACGUUAAAUUACCAUUGGAGCGUCACUUCCUUCAACGUGACACAUUAAAUUGUUAUUGGAGAGUCACUUCCUUCAACGUGACACGUUAAAUUAUUAUUGGAGAGUCACUUCCUUCAACGUGACACGUUAAAUUAUUAUUGGAGCGUCACUUCCUUCAACGUGACACAUUAAAUUAUUAUUGGGGCGUCAGCUUCCUGAAUGUGACACAUUAUGUUAUAUUGAAUAGUCACUUCCCUCAAAGUGACGCAUUAUUAUUAUUAUUAUAUUGGGACAUUACCUCUCUUAAAUAUACAGUUAUAUCAUAUUGGGAAGUCACCUCUCCAAAAAAGUGACACGUUAUGUUUUUGAAUUAUCACCUCGUCCAAAUUGACACAUCACUUUGGAUCACCACUUCCUUCAAAAGCAAUACACUUGAAAUUGGAUCGUCAUCUCCUUCAAUAUGGCAUGUUAAACCAGGUUUGAACAAAUUAUAUUUAUAUUUAUAUUACAUUUUCUACUGACAAUUUUCUCCAGACUUUGCAACACACGAAGUGGACUACGUCAAAAUAGGACGCAACACAACGUGGAACUUUUUCUUAGCAGCGAACUGGGACAUAGUCCAAAGAGGAAUAUCAAACUCUUAGGACGCGAGUUAAGGAACGACUUCCACCACAAUCAAACCACAUCCCUAUCCUAAGGCGUGUGGGUAUUUCUUGGGACUUAAUAGUUUCAGUUUCGCCUUCAGUGAAAUUUUCAACUCUCAUGAGAGGCAAAUUUUCAAAUUCGAGUGACAAUACCCCUAGAGCUUUGGAAGUUAUGUCCAUAUAAGAGAUUUAUUUUUCAACCGAUUGAGUCGAACUACAAGCAAUCUGAUUCCCAAACUUUAGGGAUAUGUAAGCGGACUUAAUGUUGAAAACUCGACUAUACUCCAACGACUCUAUCAUCACUCUAUUCUUGAGCUUUUCGGUCUCUCCAUAUUUCGACACCGAAAUAGCUUUUGCAUUCUUUCAAAAUUGUGCGAUAAAUCAAGCGCCUUUCGAACUACUAGUGGCCUGAGUUCUCAUUUAACCUGAGAUAAGUAGGAAACUCAAUACCAGGGUCCGGUCGUGAUUCCUCAAAAUCAUUGCCAUUCACCAUUCCAAAGAAAUGAUUUAGUGGACGGACAAAAUUGGAUUCGUCAAUUUCAUUUCCUUUCGAACUACUAGUGGCCUGAGUUCUCAUUUAACCUGAGAUAAGUAGGAAACUCAAUACCAGGGUCCGGUCGUGAUUCCUCAAAAUCAUUGCCAUUCACCAUUCCAAAGAAAUGAUUUAGUGGACGGACAAAAUUGGAUUCGUCAAUUUCAUUUGCCUCGGAUGUCUUUCAUCCAUCCCAUUCAAACGAGGGGCAGUUGUUGACACCCAAUUUUGAUCCUCCACAUUAUAGAUUAACACGAGCUUCUUUAAUUUCAAACGAUUUGAAAUAAUUGACUUUAUAUAUUUUUAAAAUGUCUCUCAAGUUAUUUUAAAGUAAUUUUGAUUAUAUUUUAUAAUUUUUAAAUAAUAAAUGUAUUUUAUGUAAUUAUGUACAUUAUUAGUAUAUUUUAUAAAUAUUCAAAAAUCGUCUCAAAAGAUUUUGCGUUAAUUAAUUUAGUUAAGUAAUAGUACAUAUUUUUGAGUUAAUUAGUUAAGUUAAUUAUUUUAUUUCGUUAAAAUUAAAAAGCUCGUUAGUUAAUUUAAUUAAUUUGUCUUUUUUAAUUUUUAACCGAAUUUACAAAUUAAUUUGAAAUGGCUAAAUUAAAAUUCCUAUGGUCAUCUCUCCAAUUGCAAAUCUAACUCAUCUUUUGGCUUCUAACUUGAACCAAUUUUAAGAUCUAACAUCAACUCUUUUCCCACAAAUUUUCAGCCAAGUUUGGGCCAUUUCCUCUCAAAUUCCAAACCGGCCCAAUAUUUCCAACAUUCAACAGAAACCCAUUAUAACAACAACAUUCUAAUCAGCCCUAUACUCAAAUCAAUAGCCCCUUUUCCAUAAUUUCCAGCCCACCAAGCCAAUCCAUUUCCCCUUAACCCGGCCCAUUUCUUUUGUUCAGCAAAGAGUUCAACAACUAUUCCAAACAACAAAGGCAAACAGCAGCACACGGAAAUCUCACGGAGACGGACGGAAAGCAGCGGCAACAGGCAGUACGCUGCCUUUUCUUGUCUUCUUCCUCAACGUCCCUCUCCGAUAGUACUGUUCCAGCCGUGAUUCCAGUAAAAGCAGCACGCAUUUUCGUCCUUGUGGUGUGAGAUUGAGGCACAUAGCAUCUCAAGGACUCUCAAUCGAUCGAGACCCUCCACCUCAUUCCAAUCCGUUUGAAAUGAGGAUCAAUUCGGUAUAUUCUUCCGUCCUUGGAGAGAAUUUGAGGGGGAAUUUUCAAAAUUUGUGGGCCUUGUUCUUAUCCAACUUCUCGGCCCUUUUCCCAAAUUCCGAACCCUAGUUUUUCCUUAUAAAUACCCUCUUUGCUCACUGUUCAAAGGAGGGUUUUUUUUCGAGACCUGAGAGUACCCUAAAAGGUUUGGGAAAUCUUGGUUCAAUAGUUUAAUUUGUUGUGGUUGUUUGAGUUGAAAGAGGUGGAAUCGUCUCCGUCAAACUCAUCCGUCCAGUUCGCUGCCCCGAGCCAGGUAAUCUUCUCUUUAUUUCAGCAUUUUGUUGGCUCUUGAAAUCUUGUUUGGCGUUAGCUGUUUAAGUAUGUUUUCAGUAGCUUAAAUUUUAUUUUUUAUUUUUUGCCUAUUUUUGAACUGUCUAAUUUAUAUGUGAGAUAUUUAUGUCUUUAAUUUCAUCAUUUUCUACCAUCUUAGGACAAAUAUAAUCAGUAUUGAAUGAAGUUAGAGUUAUUUUUUUUUUUAUUUUUUUUUAUUUUUUUUGUUCAAGCAUUUUAGUUGUCAAGUAGUCGAUCUGUGUAGCUUGUUGUAUUCGUUUGAUUUGAAAAGGUUUUAAAGCGCUAGUUAUUCUCGACUUGCUUCACCUUUUGACUUAUGACAAAUUUUAAAUUUGGAGUUGAAUAUUCUCAUUCAUGAUGAGCGAAAACCUCCCCAUUCAUCUAAUCUUUUUACAUGUAUAAGAGAAUGUAGUGAUUAAUUUCUCUCUAGUCAGCCAUGUGAUCCAAUAUGAGCUUGAAGUGUGUUUAUUUUGAUUAUAGCGCGACUGUUUAAAUUCGAGUUUGCGAACUUGCUUCAUGCUGUCUCAUUUCCAAUCGUUUUCGGCUCCUAGUUGUCGUCCGUCUCUCUGUUUUGAGGUUCCUAUUUUGAUUUCCAUGUGAAUGAUUCAAAAUGAUGUUCGAUUUAGUGUUAUGUCUCAUGUUACCUUAAGAUUAAUGAGUGUAGCUAUAUGUUUAACACAACUGAUAAUUUAUUUAUGUGUUAAGAUGUUAGUUUGUUGUUCUUUAUAAUGCUACUGUCGGGAUUAAUGGAACACAAAAGUUCUCAUGUGUUAACCGAUUUUUAUUUAUUUUUGACUCCUUAAUCUCUAGUUUUCUCUGACUGCUGGUUGAAUUUAAGGUUUAUGUGAAGUUGUUUAAAUUGUCCCUUCCUUGUCUAUUUUCCGAUUUUCUUUGCUCAAAUUUAUAGCUAAAGUUUGUAGUUAUGGAUUGUCUUAAUGUGAAUAUAAAGAAAAGGUUUUAGGAUCAAAUGUUGCCUUCAUUUUGUUUGGCAUAUUACUUGAUUUAUCUCUGCCAAAAAAUGAUUUUCAAUUGUCCAUAAUUAAUUAAGCAUGUUAGUAUAAACUACUUUGAAGUCCUCAUUAUGAUAUGUCAUUUUUAUCGCCUUUAGCAUAACUGAGUUAAUACAUAUCAAUUAAUCUUAUGUGACUUCAAAUAUUUAAAUUUUGAAUCUAAAAGAGAUUGGAGUUUGUACAUCCAUGAGUAGUGUCGGGUUUGGUCUUGAUGUGAUACUUGUUUGAAUCUCUUUAUUUAUUAAUUAUAUGGAAUGUACUCUUUCUAUCAUUAAUUAUUAUACAUGCUAGUUGAAGUCUGCAUGCCUUAAUUCUUGGCUACAAACCUUUCUGCAAGUAUCAUGUGAUAAGCUCCCCAUAUUGUGGUACUAGUUUUUUUUUCUAUUUUAAUUGAAAUUGUUCAUUUUAAGUUAAAAUUUGAAAAAAAAUGCUAGCUUUGUUUGAUCGUACAAAUUAUUUGUGCUUAAAGCUGAAUGAGAUGUGUGCUUUCCUUAAUUAUCUAAAAAUUGUUCACUUUGCUAAUUUACUUUUUUUUUUCUCUUCUUUGUUUGUUGUAUGUGACAUCCGAAUGAGUCCAAUGGACUCUCAUCUCUUGCAUUUUCCUCUUCGAGUCGACCUCCUUUAAACCGACUGAAAUGGAAGUUAUUUUCAUCGGGAUAAGCACCCCAAAAAGACAGCAGCAGCAGUAGCUUAAAGGGCUAAAAGAAUAGUUUUUUUUUUUUUUAUUUGAAAAGUCUGAAAAUGGCACCAGCUGAAGCAGAGUUGCAGCUGCCUCUAAAAGGCAGAAAAACGAGGAGAAAAAAUUGGGUCGAAACCCCGACAAACCACCAGCAGUAGCAGCAGUCCCCAAAGGGACUAAAAUUGGAAAUUUUUGGACUUUAAAAAGUCCAAUCUGGGCAGCAGCAAAUGAGAAGCAGCAAGUGGACUUAAAGUUGUCCAAAUCCUAUUUGCACUUUUGUUUCCCUUAUAUCGUGAUUUUGUGAUACUUGCUCUUAAUUUCUAACAUUUAUUUUAUCAAUUUAGAUGAAUCCUUGGGGUGAUAUGUUUAUUAAAGUUUUCAAAUUUUGAAACUCAUUUUAAGUUAGGUAAUUUAAGCUUUAUAGAAUGACUUGAGAACCUUUUAUGUUCUUUCAUAGUUAUUGAUAAGCUUCGAAUCCAUGUUUACGAGUUUGAACUAACUAUUUGGUUCAAAUUUUUAAAUAGGAUAAAGUUGUUAAGUUUCUUAAAAUAAAUUAGUUGUCUUUUAGUUUAACUUAGGACCUUGUAUGAAUGACUUAAGGAUUUUCUAUAUAUUUUUGUAGUUGUCAAACAA